This 912-nucleotide ribosomal RNA is filed under the name Lactobacillus gasseri. RNAcentral describes it as "bacterial SSU rRNA". The record is from RNAcentral. Lineage: Bacteria; Bacillati; Bacillota; Bacilli; Lactobacillales; Lactobacillaceae.
AGAUGUUURAAUUCUUGACUCCAGGACGAUCGCUGUWCAGCGUGCCUUAAUACAUGCAAGUCGAGCGAGCUUGCCUAGAUGAUUUGGUGCUUGCACCAAAUGAAACUAGAUACAAGCGAGCGGCGGACGGGUGAGUAACACGUGGGUAACCUGCCCAAGAGACUGGGAUAACACCUGGAAACAGAUGCUAAUACCGGAUAACAACACUAGACGCAUGUCUAGAGUUUAAAAGAUGGUUCUGCUAUCACUCUUGGAUGGACCUGCGGUGCAUUAGCUAGUUGGUAAGGUAACGGCUUACCAAGGCAAUGAUGCAUAGCCGAGUUGAGAGACUGAUCGGCCACAUUGGGACUGAGACACGGCCCAAACUCCUACGGGAGGCAGCAGUAGGGAAUCUUCCACAAUGGACGCAAGUCUGAUGGAGCAACGCCGCGUGAGUGAAGAAGGGUUUCGGCUCGUAAAGCUCUGUUGGUAGUGAAGAAAGAUAGAGGUAGUAACUGGCCUUUAUUUGACGGUAAUUACUUAGAAAGUCACGGCUAACUACGUGCCAGCAGCCGCGGUAAUACGUAGGUGGCAAGCGUUGUCCGGAUUUAUUGGGCGUAAAGCGAGUGCAGGCGGUUCAAUAAGUCUGAUGUGAAAGCCUUCGGCUCAACCGGAGAAUUGCAUCAGAAACUGUUGAACUUGAGUGCAGAAGAGGAGAGUGGAACUCCAUGUGUAGCGGUGGAAUGCGUAGAUAUAUGGAAGAACACCAGUGGCGAAGGCGGCUCUCUGGUCUGCAACUGACGCUGAGGCUCGAAAGCAUGGGUAGCGAACAGGAUUAGAUACCCUGGUAGUCCAUGCCGUAAACGACGAGUGCUAAGUGUUGGGAGGUUCCGCCUCUCAGUGUGCAGUAACGCAUUAAGCAUCUCCGCYGGA